UAGGGAAUCCUCCACAAUGGGCGCAAGCCUGAUGGAGCAACACCGCGUGAGUGAAGAAGGGUUUCGGCUCGUAAAGCUCUGUUGUUAAAGAAGAACACGUAUGAGAGUAACUGUUCAUACGUUGACGGUAUUUAACCAGAAAGUCACGGCUAACUACGUGUCAG
RNAcentral lists this ribosomal RNA (164 nucleotides) under uncultured bacterium. Its description in RNAcentral is "partial 16S ribosomal RNA". It matches the Rfam family "Bacterial small subunit ribosomal RNA", at positions 355 to 511 of the family's 1533-position model. The record is from RNAcentral.